Molecule: ribosomal RNA, 804 nt
Filed under: uncultured fungus
Lineage: Eukaryota; Fungi
Description: eukaryotic LSU rRNA
Rfam family: Eukaryotic large subunit ribosomal RNA
Source: RNAcentral
GAACUUAAGCAUAUCAAUAAGCGGAGGAAAAGAAACUAACAAGGAUUCCCUCAGUAACUGCGAGUGAAGUGGGAAAAGCUCAAAUUUGAAAUCUGGCAGCUCUUUCAGGUUGUCCGAGUUGUAAUCUAGAGAAGUGUUACCUGUGUUGGACCGUGUAAAAGUCUUCUGGAAUGGAGCAUCAUAGAGGGCGAGAAUCCCGUCUUUGACAUGGACUACCAGCAUGCCAAGGUGCACUCUCAAAGAGUCGAGUUGUUUGGGAAUGCAGCUCAAAAUGGGUGGUAAAUGCCAUCUAAAGCUAAAUAUUGGCGAGAGACCGAUAGCGAACAAGUACCGUGAGGGAAAGAUGAAAAGAACUUUGGAAAGAGAGUUAAACAGUACGUGAAAUUGCUGAAAGGGAAACGCUUAAAGUCAGUCGCAUUAGCUGGAAAUCAGGCUUGCUUUUGCAAGGUGCACUUUCUAGUCGAUGGGUCAGCAUCAAUUUUAAUCGUUGGAUAAAGUCAUUGGGAAUGUGGCAUCUUUGGAUGUGUUAUAGCCCAGUGUUGAAUACAGCGGUCAGGAUUGAGGAAUUCAGCAUGCCUCUAGGGGCCAGGUUUCGACCAUGUUCAUGCUUAGGAUGCUGGCAUAAUGGCUUUAAUCGACCCGUCUUGAAACACGGACCAAGGAGUCUAACAUGCCUGCGAGUGUUUGGGUGAAAAACCCAUACGCACAAUGAAAGUGAAAGUUGAGAUCCUUAGGGAGCAUUGACGCCCGGACCAGACCUUCUGUGACGGAUCCGCGGUAGAGCAUGUAUGUUGGGACCCGAAA